Molecule: long non-coding RNA, 300 nt
Organism: Sinocyclocheilus rhinocerous
Lineage: Eukaryota; Metazoa; Chordata; Actinopteri; Cypriniformes; Cyprinidae
Exons: 2
Source: RefSeq, a predicted model, not a curated record
UAAAGCUAUGUAUUAUGCAACCGUAGAUUUUGUUCAGGUGAAAAGUGAGGUGUAUCGCUGAGCAAAAACAUAAUGUUUGCCCAUUAGCUGGUUUCUGUGAAACUUCCACUGUUAGUUACGUUUGAGUAGCAAAAUGUAAAAAAAUUUUUUUUAAAAGACCUACGAGUCUGUCAAAUGCCGCAGUUCCUAUUUGCUCCAAGAGCAAGUAGUUUUGAUAUUGAGGAGACUAAUAGUUUUUAUAUACUGGCGUACAAUAGCAAAGUACAGUAACUGUGCCAACAAUGGAACUAAAUCUAGAAG